UGAAAUGAAAUGAGGAGAAAUCUCUUUAUUUAGAAAAACAAGUCACUAAAAAAGAAAAAAAAUCCAAGGGCCAUUUUAAUGAGUUAAACAAUUAAAUCCAUGUAUUAAUCAAGUAACCAAGUUAAAAGGUAAAAGUUUGAAAUUCUAUAUCACUCAAUCGAUUAUUAACCCCUUUAAUCUAUUAGGAGGCGUGACACUUUGAUUAUAAUCAAUUGGAAGGCUAAGAAAAACCCUAAGCAUAGGAC
Molecule: long non-coding RNA, 245 nt
Filed under: Lathyrus oleraceus (garden pea)
Lineage: Eukaryota; Viridiplantae; Streptophyta; Magnoliopsida; Fabales; Fabaceae
Description: Pisum sativum (pea) long non-coding RNA (PSAT_LNC023505)
Source: RNAcentral